CAGCCGUAAACUAUGCGCGUUAGGUGUAUCGGUGACCACGAGUCACCGAGGUGCCGAAGGGAAACCGUGAAACGUGCCGCCUGGGAAGUACGGUCGCAAGGCUGAAACUUAAAGGAAUUGGCGGGGGAGGCACCACAACAGGUGGAGCCUGCGGUUUAAUUAGGACUCAACGCCGGGAAGCUCACCGGAUAGGACAGCAGAAUGAUUGCCGGGCUGAAGACCCUGCAUGACUAGCUGAGAGGAGGGUGCAUGGCGUAGACGUCU
RNAcentral lists this ribosomal RNA (264 nucleotides) under uncultured archaeon. RNAcentral describes it as "partial 16S ribosomal RNA". It matches the Rfam family "Archaeal small subunit ribosomal RNA", at positions 748 to 1009 of the family's 1478-position model. The record is from RNAcentral.